This 482-nucleotide ribosomal RNA is filed under the name uncultured bacterium. RNAcentral describes it as "partial 16S ribosomal RNA". It matches the Rfam family "Bacterial small subunit ribosomal RNA", at positions 30 to 507 of the family's 1533-position model. The record is from RNAcentral.
AUUGAACGCUGGCGGCAUGCCUUACACAUGCAAGUCGAACGGUAACGGGCCUUCGGGUGCCGCCGAGUGGCGAACGGGUGAGUAAUACAUCGGAACGUGCCCGAUCGUGGGGGAUAACGAGGCGAAGGCUUUGCUAAUACCGCAUACGAUCUACGGAUGAAAGCAGGGGACCGCAAGGCCUUGCGCGGACGGAGCGGCCGAUGGCAGAUUAGGUAGUUGGUGGGAUAAAAGCUUACCAAGCCGACGAUCUGUAGCUGGUCUGAGAGGAUGAUCAGCCACACUGGGACUGAGACACGGCCCAGACUCCUACGGGAGGCAGCAGUGGGGAAUUUUGGACAAUGGGCGCAAGCCUGAUCCAGCCAUGCCGCGUGCAGGAUGAAGGCUUUCGGGUUGUAAACUGCUUUUGUACGGAACGAAAAGCCUUCUUUUAAUACAGGAGGGUCAUGACGGUACCGUAAGAAUAAGCACCGGCUAACUACGUG